CAGUCGCCACGGUAAUACAGAGGGUGCGAGCGUUAAUCGGAUUUACUGGGCGUAAAGCGUGCGUAGGCGGCUUCUUAAGUCGGAUGUGAAAUCCCUGAGCUUAACUUAGGAAUUGCAUUCGAUACUGGGAAGCUAGAGUAUGGGAGAGGAUGGUAGAAUUCCAGGUGUAGCGGUGAAAUGCGUAGAGAUCUGGAGGAAUACCGAUGGCGAAGGCAUCCAUCUGGCCUAAUACUGACGCUGAGGUACGAAAGCAUGGGGAGCAAACAGGAUUAGAUACCCCCGUAGUCCCUGUCUCUUAUAC
Molecule: ribosomal RNA, 301 nt
Filed under: uncultured bacterium
Lineage: Bacteria
Description: partial 16S ribosomal RNA
Rfam family: Bacterial small subunit ribosomal RNA
Source: RNAcentral